GAUGAACGCUGGCGGCGUGCCUAAUACAUGCAAGUCGAGCGAACAGAUGAGGAGCUUGCUCCUCUGACGUUAGCGGCGGACGGGUGAGUAACACGUGGAUAACCUACCUAUACGACUGGGAUAACUUCGGGAAACCGGAGCUACUACCGGAUAAUAUAUUGAACCGCAUGGUUCAAUAGUUCAAGACGGCUUUGCUGUCACUUAUAGAUGGAUCCGCGCCGCAUUAGCUAGUUGGUAAGGUAACGGCUUACCAAGGCAACGAUGCGUAGCCGACCUGAGAGGGUGAUCGGCCACACUGGAACUGAGACACGGUCCAGACUCCUACGGGAGGCAGCAGUAGGGAAUCUUCCGCAAUGGGCGAAAGCCUGACGGAGCAACGCCGCGUGAGUGAUGAAGGUCUUCGGAUCGUAAAACUCUGUUAUUAGGGAAGAACAUAUGUGUAAGUAACUAUGCACGUCUUGACGGUACCUAAUCAGAAAGCCACGGCUAACUACGUG
RNAcentral lists this ribosomal RNA (497 nucleotides) under uncultured bacterium. RNAcentral describes it as "partial 16S ribosomal RNA". It matches the Rfam family "Bacterial small subunit ribosomal RNA", at positions 28 to 507 of the family's 1533-position model. The record is from RNAcentral.